This 1520-nucleotide ribosomal RNA is filed under the name Klebsiella pneumoniae. Its description in RNAcentral is "bacterial SSU rRNA". It matches the Rfam family "Bacterial small subunit ribosomal RNA". The record is from RNAcentral. Lineage: Bacteria; Pseudomonadati; Pseudomonadota; Gammaproteobacteria; Enterobacterales; Enterobacteriaceae. RNAcentral also lists the same sequence under 1 other name.
AGAGUUUGAUCAUGGCUCAGAUUGAACGCUGGCGGCAGGCCUAACACAUGCAAGUCGAGCGGUAGCACAGAGAGCUUGCUCUCGGGUGACGAGCGGCGGACGGGUGAGUAAUGUCUGGGAAACUGCCUGAUGGAGGGGGAUAACUACUGGAAACGGUAGCUAAUACCGCAUAACGUCGCAAGACCAAAGUGGGGGACCUUCGGGCCUCAUGCCAUCAGAUGUGCCCAGAUGGGAUUAGCUAGUAGGUGGGGUAACGGCUCACCUAGGCGACGAUCCCUAGCUGGUCUGAGAGGAUGACCAGCCACACUGGAACUGAGACACGGUCCAGACUCCUACGGGAGGCAGCAGUGGGGAAUAUUGCACAAUGGGCGCAAGCCUGAUGCAGCCAUGCCGCGUGUGUGAAGAAGGCCUUCGGGUUGUAAAGCACUUUCAGCGGGGAGGAAGGCGGUGAGGUUAAUAACCUCACCGAUUGACGUUACCCGCAGAAGAAGCACCGGCUAACUCCGUGCCAGCAGCCGCGGUAAUACGGAGGGUGCAAGCGUUAAUCGGAAUUACUGGGCGUAAAGCGCACGCAGGCGGUCUGUCAAGUCGGAUGUGAAAUCCCCGGGCUCAACCUGGGAACUGCAUUCGAAACUGGCAGGCUAGAGUCUUGUAGAGGGGGGUAGAAUUCCAGGUGUAGCGGUGAAAUGCGUAGAGAUCUGGAGGAAUACCGGUGGCGAAGGCGGCCCCCUGGACAAAGACUGACGCUCAGGUGCGAAAGCGUGGGGAGCAAACAGGAUUAGAUACCCUGGUAGUCCACGCUGUAAACGAUGUCGAUUUGGAGGUUGUGCCCUUGAGGCGUGGCUUCCGGAGCUAACGCGUUAAAUCGACCGCCUGGGGAGUACGGCCGCAAGGUUAAAACUCAAAUGAAUUGACGGGGGCCCGCACAAGCGGUGGAGCAUGUGGUUUAAUUCGAUGCAACGCGAAGAACCUUACCUGGUCUUGACAUCCACAGAACUUAGCAGAGAUGCUUUGGUGCCUUCGGGAACUGUGAGACAGGUGCUGCAUGGCUGUCGUCAGCUCGUGUUGUGAAAUGUUGGGUUAAGUCCCGCAACGAGCGCAACCCUUAUCCUUUGUUGCCAGCGGUUAGGCCGGGAACUCAAAGGAGACUGCCAGUGAUAAACUGGAGGAAGGUGGGGAUGACGUCAAGUCAUCAUGGCCCUUACGACCAGGGCUACACACGUGCUACAAUGGCAUAUACAAAGAGAAGCGACCUCGCGAGAGCAAGCGGACCUCAUAAAGUAUGUCGUAGUCCGGAUUGGAGUCUGCAACUCGACUCCAUGAAGUCGGAAUCGCUAGUAAUCGUAGAUCAGAAUGCUACGGUGAAUACGUUCCCGGGCCUUGUACACACCGCCCGUCACACCAUGGGAGUGGGUUGCAAAAGAAGUAGGUAGCUUAACCUUCGGGAGGGCGCUUACCACUUUGUGAUUCAUGACUGGGGUGAAGUCGUAACAAGGUAACCGUAGGGGAACCUGCGGUUG